Molecule: ribosomal RNA, 571 nt
Filed under: Saccharomyces cerevisiae (brewer's yeast)
Lineage: Eukaryota; Fungi; Ascomycota; Saccharomycetes; Saccharomycetales; Saccharomycetaceae
Description: partial large subunit ribosomal RNA
Rfam family: Eukaryotic large subunit ribosomal RNA
Source: RNAcentral
CUUAGUACGGCGAGUGAAGCGGCAAAAGCUCAAAUUUGAAAUCUGGUACCUUCGGUGCCCGAGUUGUAAUUUGGAGAGGGCAACUUUGGGGCCGUUCCUUGUCUAUGUUCCUUGGAACAGGACGUCAUAGAGGGUGAGAAUCCCGUGUGGCGAGGAGUGCGGUUCUUUGUAAAGUGCCUUCGAAGAGUCGAGUUGUUUGGGAAUGCAGCUCUAAGUGGGUGGUAAAUUCCAUCUAAAGCUAAAUAUUGGCGAGAGACCGAUAGCGAACAAGUACAGUGAUGGAAAGAUGAAAAGAACUUUGAAAAGAGAGUGAAAAAGUACGUGAAAUUGUUGAAAGGGAAGGGCAUUUGAUCAGACAUGGUGUUUUGUGCCCUCUGCUCCUUGUGGGUAGGGGAAUCUCGCAUUUCACUGGGCCAGCAUCAGUUUUGGUGGCAGGAUAAAUCCAUAGGAAUGUAGCUUGCCUCGGUAAGUAUUAUAGCCUGUGGGAAUACUGCCAGCUGGGACUGAGGACUGCGACGUAAGUCAAGGAUGCUGGCAUAAUGGUUAUAUGCCGCCCGUCUUGAAACACGCA